Molecule: ribosomal RNA, 427 nt
Filed under: uncultured bacterium
Lineage: Bacteria
Description: partial 16S ribosomal RNA
Rfam family: Bacterial small subunit ribosomal RNA
Source: RNAcentral
UAGGGAAUCUUCCGCAAUGGGCGAAAGCCUGACGGAGCAACGCCGCGUGAGUGAAGAAGGUCUUCGGAUCGUAAAACUCUGUUAUUAGGGAAGAACAAAUGUGUAAGUAACUAUGCACGUCUUGACGGUACCUAAUCAGAAAGCCACGGCUAACUACGUGCCAGCAGCCGCGGUAAUACGUAGGUGGCAAGCGUUAUCCGGAAUUAUUGGGCGUAAAGCGCGCGUAGGUGGUUUUUUAAGUCUGAUGUGAAAGCCCACGGCUCAACCGUGGAGGGUCAUUGGAAACUGGAAAACUUGAGUGCAGAAGAGGAAAGUGGAAUUCCAUGUGUAGCGGUGAAAUGCGCAGAGAUAUGGAGGAACACCAGUGGCGAAGGCGACUUUCUGGUCUGUAACUGACGCUGAUGUGCGAAAGCGUGGGGAUCAAACA